UUCCGUUUUACAGUUAAUAUAAACUACGUAUUUUUUUUAUAUAGCAACAUACUUUCAUAGAUAACCAAAACUUGACAGAUGUCGAUGACAGUCCCAUGAAGAAAUUAAAAUUGACGAGUCAAUGAAAUGUGUUUUGUAUUUGUUAUUAUGCAUUAAGUAAAAUUGUAUGUCUGUAACCUUGUACUAUCCUCUUAUAUUACUUCAAUUGUUAAGUACUCUGGAUAUAUAAAUAUUACUUCGCCUCAGAGAUGAUUUAGUCCAGUGUGUUCCAACAAAAAAAGGUCACCACAUAAUGUUUCAAGGAUAUACGUAUACAUUUAAGAGUAAACUUCAAUGUGGGGCUGAGCAAUGGUGUUGUUCUUACAGGCAGAAAACUGGUUGUAUAUCAAUAAUAAACAUGCAAACAUAUGGUGUUGAAGUCGUGAGGGAUUU
Long non-coding RNA from Pieris rapae (cabbage white), 432 nucleotides. RefSeq lists it as uncharacterized. The record is from RefSeq and is a predicted model, not a curated record. The transcript is spliced from 2 exons. NCBI's taxonomy places the organism in Eukaryota, Metazoa, Arthropoda, Insecta, Lepidoptera, Pieridae.